GGGUCGGUAGCAAAGUCUGGCCAAAUGCAGCAGACUGUAAAUCUGCCGGCAUUACGCCUUCGGGGGUUCAAAUCCCUCCCGGCCCA
This 86-nucleotide transfer RNA is filed under the name Parcubacteria group bacterium QH_9_35_7. Its description in RNAcentral is "tRNA-Tyr". It matches the Rfam family "tRNA". From Rfam's summary of the family: Transfer RNA (tRNA) molecules are approximately 80 nucleotides in length. Their secondary structure includes four short double-helical elements and three loops (D, anti-codon, and T loops). RNAcentral also lists the same sequence under 1 other name. The record is from RNAcentral.